This 313-nucleotide ribosomal RNA is filed under the name uncultured bacterium. Its description in RNAcentral is "bacterial SSU rRNA". It matches the Rfam family "Bacterial small subunit ribosomal RNA", at positions 32 to 324 of the family's 1533-position model. The record is from RNAcentral.
AAUCAACGCUGGCGGCGUGCCUCAGACAUGCAAGUCGAACGCGAAAUUUCCCUUCGGGGAGAAAGUAGAGUGGCGCACGGGUGAGUAACACGUAGGUAAUUUGCCUUCGGGUGGGGAAUAACAGCCGGAAACGGACUGCUAAUACCGCAUAAUGCAGCGGCUCGACAUCGAGACAGUUGUUAAAGCGGGGAUCGCAAGACCUCGCGCCUGAAGAGAAGCCUGCGGCAGAUUAGCUAGUUGGUAGGGUAAUGGCCUACCAAGGCAACGAUCUGUAGCCGGCCUGAGAGGGCGGUCGGCCACACUGACACUGACA